GGAGCUGACUGAUAGCAUUAAAACCAGUAGACACUGAGGAAUUUGAUUUUUUGCAGCAAGACUAGAAGGGUUAUGUUUCAAUAGGGUCACAGCAUGGAUGAAUUGUCUGCAGGUAACCUUCACUCUGAGAACAGAAAGAUGGCAAUAUAGUUAGAGCCCAUUGCAUAAGCAGUUCCCCCUUGUUAUCCCAACAGGAGGACAGACUGUACCCAUACAGAUACCCAAAAUGAGGAAACAGUAACAGUGGACCAUAACCUGACCUCAAAAUGAUAGAGGUUGAAGUAAGCAAGAUUCUGAGGCAAAAGACUGUGCUAUAAUUGUUCGACUUGUAAAAGGGUUAAAAAGCCAGUCCAAAAACCAGUUCAUUGUCAGCAAUCAAGAGGAACCUAGGAGAUGUAGCAAGGUCUUGAUACCAAUCAUCACUUGUCCUCCAUGCUCGUACAAGGGAUCUUGACCAGACCACAGAGAUCUUCGCCAGACCAGAGAUACACACAUCCUGGUGCCUUGAUAACCUGUCUCUGUUGAAAUCUGUGGGAAUUUACAAUUGAUUUUAACUCAGCAAAAUGUACCAUCUCCUGACAUUGGAAGAAGACUGACUGAAGAGCUUAAGGCAAGGACAGUUUGCCUCAAACCAAGAGAUAUCGAUCUUGAUUUUGUGAUGCAAAUCUUGAACAAUUCAGUCAAAUGUUUUCAACUUCCUCUGUCAUGGGUCAAUGGCAAAGUCUCAAUUGACUUCUACAAAUGUAGGCACAGAUGUGAGAGGUCCGUUUCAUGAUGCAUGUGUAAACAGCUGAAAA
Harpia harpyja (harpy eagle) is the source of this 797-nucleotide long non-coding RNA. RefSeq lists it as uncharacterized. The record is from RefSeq and is a predicted model, not a curated record. Lineage: Eukaryota; Metazoa; Chordata; Aves; Accipitriformes; Accipitridae. The transcript has 3 exons.